UACGUAAGUGGCAAGCGUUAUCCGGAAUCACUGGGUGUAAAGGGUGUGUAGGCGGUAAUUUAAGUUUCGCGUUUAAGAUCAGGGCUCAACCCCGACAUGGCGCGAAAUACUGAAUUGCUUGAGUGACGAAGAGGAAGUUGGAACUCCAGGUGAAGCGGUGAAAUGUGUAGAUAUCUGGGGGAACACCAAUGGCGAAGGCAGGCUUCUGGUCGUCAACUGACGCUGAGACACGAAAGCGUGGGGAGCAAAC
RNAcentral lists this ribosomal RNA (250 nucleotides) under uncultured bacterium. RNAcentral's name for it is "partial 16S ribosomal RNA". It matches the Rfam family "Bacterial small subunit ribosomal RNA", at positions 524 to 773 of the family's 1533-position model. The record is from RNAcentral.